AGGACGAACGCUGGCGGCGUGCCUAACACAUGCAAGUCGAGCGGGGACAUACGACGGAUAGGAAGUUUCGGAUGGAAUUGAAGAUGUAUUGUUCUAGCGGCGGACGGGUGAGUAACGCGUGAGCAACCUGUCCCUUACAGGGGGAUAACACAGCGAAAGCUGUACUAAUACCGCAUAAGACCACGGGGAGACAUCUUCCAGGGGUCAAAGGAGCAAUCCGGUAAGGGGUGGGCUCGCGUCCGAUUAGAUAGUUGGUGAGGUAACGGCCCACCAAGUCGACGAUCGGUAGCCGACCUGAGAGGGUGAUCGGCCACAUUGGGACUGAGACACGGCCCAAACUCCUACGGGAGGCAGCAGUGGGGAAUAUUGGGCAAUGGGGGGAAACCCUGACCCAGCAACGCCGCGUGAGGGAAGAAGGUUUUCGGAUCGUAAACCUCUGUCCUUGGUGAAGAGGAAGAGACGGUAGCCAAGGAGGAAGCCCCGGCUAACUACGUGCCAGCCGCGGC
Molecule: ribosomal RNA, 506 nt
Filed under: uncultured bacterium
Lineage: Bacteria
Description: bacterial SSU rRNA
Rfam family: Bacterial small subunit ribosomal RNA
Source: RNAcentral